RNAcentral lists this long non-coding RNA (425 nucleotides) under Physcomitrium patens. RNAcentral describes it as "long non-coding RNA (PPAT_LNC005937)". Lineage: Eukaryota; Viridiplantae; Streptophyta; Bryopsida; Funariales; Funariaceae. The record is from RNAcentral.
UAUUGACAUUAAGUAGUGACUUGGACUUGUAGAGAUGGAUGGAUGAUAUGGUGCUUGGAUGGCACCUAAGAGGUCUAAAGUUUGAGUCUCCAUGGUGGCACAUGGAAGAAGAUGGACAAAAAAUAUUCUUAAAAAUCCUUAAUUAAUUUAAUGAGGAUAUCUAAAGGGUUGGCUCUACAAUGCUUGUAUUAAGAGAUUAUGUUAGGUGACAAGAAUACUUGUCACCUAUGGGUAGGAGCAAGGAAUCUCCCUUAAUAGUAGCAUGAUGUAUGUCUUUUGGAUAGAUUGGUAUAUAGCUUCCCCUAAAAAGGAAGAAGCUACAAGUUGGUAGUAGCUUAAAAUAAGAUGGCAUCAAUCCUUUAGAAUCUUCAAUCCUAAAUUUUUUCUUUUUUCUUUCAAGACAUAUACAUACUCAAAUAGAAAUA